This 447-nucleotide ribosomal RNA is filed under the name uncultured bacterium. RNAcentral's name for it is "partial 16S ribosomal RNA". It matches the Rfam family "Bacterial small subunit ribosomal RNA", at positions 29 to 523 of the family's 1533-position model. The record is from RNAcentral.
AGCGAACGCUGGCGGCAGGCUUAACACAUGCAAGUCGAGCGCCCCGCAAGGGGAGCGGCAGACGGGAGAGUAACACGUGGGAACGUACCCUUUAGUUCGGAACAGCCCAGGGAAACUUGGGCUAAUACCGGAUACGUCCGUAAGGAGAAAGAUUUAUCGCUAAAGGAUCGGCCCGCGUCUGAUUAGCUAGUUGGUGAGGUAACGGCUCACCAAGGCGACGAUCAGUAGCUGGUCUGAGAGGAUGAUCAGCCUCACUGGGACUGAGACACGGCCCAGACUCCUACGGGAGGCAGCAGUGGGGAAUAUUGGACAAUGGGCGCAAGCCUGAUCCAGCCAUGCCGCGUGGGUGAUGAAGGCCCUAGGGUUGUAAAGCCCUUUCGGCGGGGAAGAUAAUGACGGUACCCGCAGAAGAAGCCCCGGCUAACUUCGUGCCAGCAGCCGCAGUAA